UCGGGAAUUUUGGGCAAUGGGCGAAAGCCUGACCCAGCAACGCCGCGUGAGGGAUGAAGUAUUUCGGUAUGUAAACCUCGAAAGAAUGGGAAGAAUAAAUGACGGUACCAUUUAUAAGCUCCGGCUAACUACGUGCCAGCAGCCGCGGUAAUACGUAGGGAGCAAGCGUUGUUCGGAUUUACUGGGCGUAAAGGGCGCGUAGGCGGCGCGGUAAGUCACUUGUGAAAUCUCUGAGCUUAACUCAGAACGGCCAAGUGAUACUGCUGUGCUAGAGUGCGGAAGAGGCAACCGGAAUUCUUGGUGUAGCGGUGAAAUGCGUAGAUAUCAAGAGGAACACCUGAGGCGAGGGCGGGUUGCUGGGCCGACACUGACGCUGAUGCGCGAAAGCCAGGGGAGCAAACG
Molecule: ribosomal RNA, 402 nt
Filed under: uncultured bacterium
Lineage: Bacteria
Description: bacterial SSU rRNA
Rfam family: Bacterial small subunit ribosomal RNA
Source: RNAcentral